This is a long non-coding RNA of Leucoraja erinaceus (little skate), 2536 nucleotides long. RefSeq lists it as uncharacterized. The transcript has 3 exons. Lineage: Eukaryota; Metazoa; Chordata; Chondrichthyes; Rajiformes; Rajidae. The record is from RefSeq and is a predicted model, not a curated record.
GUCGCAAUUGCCAGCAACCGUUAAGGAGCUGAGUUGCACCUGCCUUAUAAGAAGGCUUGCUCUGAUAAGCACACCCAUGCAUUCCGAUUGGCAAAUGCACAUUGAUGACUAAAAAUCGUCUCUACAUCAACACCCAUCCUCUCAAACCCUCUUCCUCUUAUUUAUUUCAAACACGUGUCCUCCCAUUCUUCCAAUCUCUAUGAGCAACAAGCCUUGCCUGUCCAACCUUUCUGUUCCAGACAACCCAUCCAUUCCAGAAUAGCUCUCACAAACCUCUGAAAGAAGGCACAAAGUGCCAGAGUAACUCAGUGGGUCAGGCAACAUCUCAGGAAAACAUGGAUAGGUUAUGUUUCAGAUUGGCACUCUUCUUCAGACUCUGGAGAAGCACUCCAGCAUUUUGUGUCUUUUUUUUGUAAACCUGCAUCUGCAGUUUCUCUGAACUUCUUCUAAUGCGUUUAAACGCUUCCAUAAAUAACAAGGCUAUUACUGUGCUUAGAAUUCCAAAUUAGAUUUCACCAUUACCCUAUAUAACUGAAACAUGAGCCCCACCGCGGGGACGUGGACUUGCCAUCGGAGCCGAUCCCUUGCCUGAGAUCGAUGCUCCAACCGUGGCUUGGGAAUUUCAACAUCGGGUAGAGACCAAGUCGGGAAGCUCCAACGACGCAGAAGGUUCGACUAGCCCUGACCUGGGGUCUGAUCACCCGGCGCAGGGGAGCUGAGAUUCCCCCGCCGAUGCAGGAGCUUGAUCUCCCCCGAAUGUGGAGGGCCCAAACGCCGCCGGCUAGGAGAGUCAAGAUCGCCCCGUCAAGGAGAGGCUCGAGGCCCCCGACUGCGGAAGAACUAAGAAGGGAAGAGAUUGAACUUUUUUUUGCCUUCCAUCACAGUGAGAAAUGUGGAGGAGUCACUGUGGUGGAUGUUUAUGUUAAAAUGUAUUUUGUGUGUUUUGUUGCUUUUUAAUGGUAUGAUGGCUGUGUGGCAAAUCAAAUUCCUCCUAUGUUGCAAAACAUACUUGGCUAAUAAAGUAUGAUUAUAAUUAAUAUUGGACAUACUUUAACGUUAUACUGUUCAGUGAUCGACAUCAUCAUAAAAGACAGGGCAUGCAUGCAUUCUGAAACAUGUAAAGGCAAGACGACUAUGACACAAAUCAGAAGAGGCUUUAGCAUAGGCACCAUAACCAAACCAAUGGCAGAUGAGUUUUCUUGUAGAAACUGGCCUGGCUAUUAGCAAGGAACAAGACAAUUAUUUAUGCAUUGCUAACAUAGAGAGGAAUAUCAAAAUUUGCUUCCUUGCUUUAAGGAGAUUUAUAAAGAAUGAAAAAGCUCUGCAGUUUUCUGUUGGGAAAUAUAACUGGAUGACUGGCAUUAAAAAAUAAAAUGGAAAAACAUAAUAAUUGGCAUUAAAGAUGAAGAUCAACAUGGGACACCAAUUACUCUUAGGUUAAUGCAGCAAAAGGAUAAAAGUAUUUACGAUGAGUUAAAGUAGAUGAAGGAAGUUAAAAUAAGCACCUACACUUGAACAGUGCUAGAAACACCAUUAUUCUACAUGCUUCACAAACAUCUGUAAUAAACAAACUGUUUAUUGCUGUAAAAUGAGUUUAUAAAGAGAAAAAGGCCACUGUGCAAUCUUUAGUUACACAAUAUUUUAAGAAUGAUGAGCAGGAGGCAGAGUCCACAUCAUCGACUACCUCAGAAAAGUCAACAGCAAAAUCACCCCAAAAUCUCAGUUUUCCAUGUAUACUAUCUGCAUCAUCCUCAUUUAAGACUAUAACACGUAAGAGCAGAAUUAGGCCAUUCUGUCCAUUGAGUCUACUUCGCCAUUUAAUAAUGGCUAAUCUAUUUUUCCCUUUCAGCUCCAUUCUCCUGCCUCCCCGUAACCUUUGACGCCUUUCCUAACCAAAAACCUAUAAAUGUCCACUUUUAAAAUACACAAUGUCAUGGCCUCCGCAGAUGUCUAUGGCAAUUAAUUCCACAGAUUCACCGCCCUCUGGCUAAAGAAAUUCCUCUUCAACACAGAGGCUGUGUCCACUGGUUCAGAUUCCGCUAGUUUAUUGUCACGUUACCGAGAGACAGUGAAGACUUUUGUUUGUGUGCUAUCCUGUCAAAACAUGUCAUACAUGAGUACACUUGGACCAUAAACAAGUCAACCAAGUUGAGCAAGGAGAAAAUACAAUACCGGAGUGCAGAAUAUCGUGUUACAGCAUUAUUGCAUUACAAUUAUAGAAAAACUCGUCAGCUCCAUUCUAAAGAUUGGAUCCAUGAAACUCGUGUACACAAUGAUCCCGUCCAUCCAUGGACUGCAAGGUCAUUCUGUCCUAGGUCUCCUCCAUUGUCAGAAUGAGGCUAACCGCAAAUUGGAGGAACAGCAUCUCAUAUUUCGCUUGGGCAGCUUACAGCACAGUGGUACACAGUAGAGAGCAUGCUGACCGGUUGCAUCGUGGCUUGGUUUGGCAACUUGAGCGCCCUGGAGAGGAAAAGAGGAAAAGACACCAAAAAGUAGUAAACACUGCCCAGUCCAUCAUCGGCUCUGACCUCCCAAC